CAGAGUCAGAGGUUCCACAGGAGGAGUCACAGAGCUGGCAAGGGCUCUCCUGCUGGGCUCCAAGCCCUGAGCCAGGCUGGGGCAUGUGGGGCCAGGAGGCAGGUCAGAGUAGGAGGCAGAGAGAGAAGUGUACUCAGAGGGCACCCGUAUCUGGAUGUAAUGUGUUCCUGAGAUUCUGGCUGGGAAGUGCUUCCAGGGUUUCAUAUGUGUUAUGCAACUGCUUCCUCUCCCCAGCCUCACCCUGCAGGAAUUCUAGUGACUAUGUUGCCACCAUCUUGGAGCUCCAUGCCCUCAUAGUGUAAUGGCACCAGCAGAUCUGCCUGUGCACGGACUUCUGUACUAGCUCACUCCUGAGGGGUGAUGUUUCUGCAGGGCCUAUGACCUGGUGCACAACUUUAGAUACCAUCAUCGUGGAGCAGCACUGCACCCUUACUAGCCAGGGUGUUGAUGACAUCCUCAAGGCCAAGGCCACAUUCAAGACUUUGGACUUCAGUGAUGCACUUGUGCUGGGCAAGGGCCUCAGUGCAUGGGCGCUGUCCAUCCUUUGGUGCUGAAGCAGCGAAGCGAUCCAAACCUGCCUGGCUGCCUCUUAGGAUAUGACAACCCAGCCAGUGGCCUCUGCUGGAUCCUGUACAACUUCACAAGACACCCAGACACUGCGAGUGCUGCCAGCACGUGCUGUAAGAGUCCUGAGGGACCACAAUCCUGAAGACAUUGAAUGACUGGAUGAGCAGUGAGCCAGAGAAGACAUGAAGCCACUGAGACCCCAGGCUUUUUCUGUUUCCACAGCCAGUAUGAACUACUCUCACUACGACAACACCGGGGAUAAGUGCUUCCACCAGGAACAGAAAUGGUUCCAGGGGGCUAGAGAUUGUGACAGUCGCCGGCCACUGUGCCAUUCUCAGCACUUCGGGGCCGACAGAACAAAGGAGCUAAUAGGGGUCCCAGUGGCCGUGAGGGAACGAAGUUGCUGCUACCCGAUGGAAGAGAGGAAGGUCUCCGGUGCCCAGAUUCCCCAUGGGGGAGUUGCUAGCCUGCUGCAUCCAGGAUAAAAGCGAAGAAAGGAUCACACAAACCGCAGGCAGGAGGGACCCCCCAAAGGGAGCAAUCGCUGAGGAAUGGAGAGUCCAGCAGCUGCGGUGCUCGCUGGAGGCCCAGGAGCAGCAUGGGGCACUGGCUUCAACCAGGGUUGAUGUCUUGAGUGAAAUGAGAGCGUAUUUUGGCACCGUGAUAGUGUGUUGGCGUGCGAGCAUAGAAAGAAGGAGUGUGUGACCCAGCAGUCACAGAAAUGAAACCUGAAGGCCUGAGCAUGGGCUUCUUCAUUGUCCUUCUGUGACAUUCUCUAUGCAGGGCCUAGAAAGCUGCAGCCGCUCCCAGGCUCCCUGUGAGCUGAGCUCCCAGCGUGGUGCAGCAUCACCCUGAGGGUUCUGUCUUGCAGCCUGGUGUCCUCUCCCAAUGGGGCUUCUGAUUGUGCCUGAGGUCGCAUGACACUGGCGUCUGGCGUUGCUCCUGAAAUCCUGACUUAAAGCCACACAUGCCUUUCUGCUUAGAGGAGCCAGCUUUGCUCCCGCAUUUAGCAUCUGAGCCAGUGUGUUUUAUUAUAAGCAUUAGAGACAUGACUUCUAA
Cercocebus atys (sooty mangabey) is the source of this 1626-nucleotide long non-coding RNA. RefSeq lists it as uncharacterized. NCBI's taxonomy places the organism in Eukaryota, Metazoa, Chordata, Mammalia, Primates, Cercopithecidae. The record is from RefSeq and is a predicted model, not a curated record. The transcript has 3 exons.